CAGUCGCCGCGGGAAUACGUAUGUCACAAGCGUUAUCCGGAUUUAUUGGGCGUAAAGCGCGUCUAGGUGGUUAUAUAAGUCUGAUGUGAAUAUGCAGGGCUCAACUCUGUAUUGCGUUGGAAACUGUGUAACUAGAGUACUGGAGAGGUAAGCGGAACUACAAGUGUAGAGGUGAAAUUCGUAGAUAUUUGUAGGAAUGCCGAUGGGGAAGCCAGCUUACUGGACAGAUACUGACGCUGAAGCGCGAAAGCGUGGGUAGCAAACAGGAUUAGAUACCCCGGUAGUCCCUGUCUCUUAUACC
This 301-nucleotide ribosomal RNA is filed under the name uncultured bacterium. RNAcentral's name for it is "partial 16S ribosomal RNA". It matches the Rfam family "Bacterial small subunit ribosomal RNA", at positions 509 to 808 of the family's 1533-position model. The record is from RNAcentral.